This is a long non-coding RNA of Oreochromis aureus, 850 nucleotides long. RefSeq lists it as uncharacterized. NCBI's taxonomy places the organism in Eukaryota, Metazoa, Chordata, Actinopteri, Cichliformes, Cichlidae. The record is from RefSeq and is a predicted model, not a curated record. The transcript has 4 exons.
CAACACCUCUGUGCUAUUUCUUGAGAUCAAACAAGUGGAUUCAUCUGACUCUGGGCUGUAUUUCUGUGGUGAGGACAGUUCUGAAAAGUUAAUAGUUUAUGGUGCAACAAAUUUAAAGGUUCAAGAAGGUAGAUCACAAAAUCCAUCCACUAUGAUCCUGGGCAGUUUAACUGUUUUCCUUCUCCUGGUCAUCAUCGGUCUGAUUGUCAAGAUCAGGAAAUUUUAUACAGCUGAAGAUGACAGACAGAAUCCACAACGCAGUGAGGGCAGAAUUUUGUCUAACCCUACACAUCAGAACAAAAAUCAGAAGGCCUGUACCACAGAGAGAGCUGGAGCCAAAUGUUGUGUACGCUGCUACGAGAUAGACUCACAGGAAAAGCAACACAAAAACUCUCUCAAACAUUAUGUUGUUAGUUGAUAAAAAUAGUGUGACUGAUGGUUGAUGGGGGGCGAGCUAGUGAGGACUUUGAUGUAUAGCUUAGAUUAUCUUAUAGUGAAAGUGAGUGAGGCUCUGCUGUAGUGUAAUAGUAACACAGAUGUAGUUUACCUUGUUUGACAGGAAGAGACUCAUCUAAUCUCUGAGGCUUAUUUUACAGGCUCUGUUGCUGCUAAAAGUCCUGCAGCUUUGUACAAGUAUGUGAGGCCAGACUCUGCAUCAGCUUUUUUUGGUUGUUUGGUUGGUGCAAAGUCUUGCCACUGUGACAUCCACCUGCCAGAGCUACAGACUCUUCUCUGGGCAGUUAAAGCUCUAAUUAAAUUUUGAACUUGAAUCUUAAUGCAAAAAUGCAUGUAUAUAAUCACACAUAAAAUCUCAUUAAAGCUGAAGCAACAGACUUGCAGGUUGUAAUAA